GAUGAACGCUGGCGGCGUGCCUAAUACAUGCAAGUCGAGCGAACAGACGAGGAGCUUGCUCCUCUGACGUUAGCGGCGGACGGGUGAGUAACACGUGGGUAACCUACCUAUAAGACUGGGAUAACUUCGGGAAACCGGAGCUAAUACCGGAUAAUAUAUUGAACCGAAUGGUUCAUUAGUGAAAGACGGUUUUGCUGUCACUUAUAGAUUGAUCCGCGCCGCAUUAGCUAGUUGGUAAGGUAACGGCUUACCAAGGCAACGAUGGGUAGCCGACACCAGAGGGUGGUUGGGCACCCUAGAAGUGAGACACGGUCCAGACUCCUACGGGAGGAAGCAGUAGGGAAUCUUCCGCAAUGGGGGAAAGCUGGACGGAGCAACGCCGCGUGAGUGAUGAAGGUGUUCGGAUCGUAAAGCUCUGUUAUUAGGGAAGAACAAAUGUGUAAGUAACUAUGCACGUCUUGACGGUACCUAAUCAGAAAGCCACGGCUAACUACGUG
This 497-nucleotide ribosomal RNA is filed under the name uncultured bacterium. Its description in RNAcentral is "partial 16S ribosomal RNA". It matches the Rfam family "Bacterial small subunit ribosomal RNA", at positions 28 to 507 of the family's 1533-position model. The record is from RNAcentral.